UUUUAUUCAAAUGUAAACAGUGAUUGUAAAAACUGUGCUGUAGGCCUGAUGUUGGAACCAUUUUGCAUUGCAUGCACCCCAAAAUCAAGAUCUCAAACUAGAGCAAAUGCACUAAAAGGCAUUGCUUCCAGUGGAAAAGGCUAGUUUCCAAAGCAGCCAUGAAACCUUCUGGUGAGGAAGAGAAUCAGCGCCUGGGCACACUUUUGCUCAACACCCUGGCAAGAGAAAGACGUCUUUGGAGAGCACCAGUCCUUAUGAACGGUUGCAUUCAGGUGGAAGCAUAUUUGUCAUUUGCAGGCUUCUGAACUACUUUAACCAGCAAGACCAGGAAAGUCACGCUGUGUGGUCCAAGCUGGUCUUCUCAGGAGGGAACACAGGUGACAGAAUCAAAUGUGAGCUCAACAUUUGCCAUGUUUUGUGUGCUUUCGGGGUUGCGUAAAAUGAGCAGCAUGUUCCAGUUUUCUUCAGAGACGUUUGCUUUGGGAGUCUGUGUUGUUAACAGCCUGCUUGCGGCAGUCAAAACUCAACUGAAAUAUCUCAAAUGCAUGGCCAUCACCUCUCUGAUCCUUGCUGCAAAGAUCAACAAGGAAGAUGAGGUGAGAUGUGUUUUUGCACAAUGACAACAGAGACAACUUUUAACCAUUCCAGC
Molecule: long non-coding RNA, 649 nt
Organism: Carassius carassius (crucian carp)
Lineage: Eukaryota; Metazoa; Chordata; Actinopteri; Cypriniformes; Cyprinidae
Exons: 4
Source: RefSeq, a predicted model, not a curated record